CUAAUCUGCGAUAAGCGCCGGUAAGGUGAUAUGAACCGUUAUAACCGGCGAUUUCCGAAUGGGGAAACCCAGUGUGAUUCGUCACACUAUCAUUAACUGAAUCCAUAGGUUAAUGAGGCGAACCGGGGGAACUGAAACAUCUAAGUACCCCGAGGAAAAGAAAUCAACCGAGAUUCCCCCAGUAGCGGCGAGCGAACGGGGAGGAGCCCAGAGCCUGAAUCAGCAUGUGUGUUAGUGGAAGCGUCUGGAAAGGCGCGCGAUACAGGGUGACAGCCCCGUACACAAAAGCGCAUGUGCUGUGAGCUCGAUGAGUAGGGCGGGACACGUGGUAUCCUGUCUGAAUAUGGGGGGACCAUCCUCCAAGGCUAAAUACUCCUGACUGACCGAUAGUGAACCAGUACCGUGAGGGAAAGGCGAAAAGAACCCCGGCGAGGGGAGUGAAAAAGAACCUGAAACCGUGUACGUACAAGCAGUGGGAGCACAGGUUUACCUGUGUGACUGCGUACCUUUUGUAUAAUGGGUCAGCGACUUAUAUUCUGUAGCAAGGUUAACCGAAUAGGGGAGCCGUAGGGAAACCGAGUCUUAAUUGGGCGUUAAGUUGCAGGGUAUAGACCCGAAACCCGGUGAUCUAGCCAUGGGCAGGUUGAAGGUUGGGUAACACUAACUGGAGGACCGAACCGACUAAUGUUGAAAAAUUAGCGGAUGACCUGUGGCUGGGGGUGAAAGGCCAAUCAAACCGGGAGAUAGCUGGUUCUCCCCGAAAGCUAUUUAGGUAGCGCCUCGUGAAUUCAUCUCCGGGGGUAGAGCACUGUUUCGGCUAGGGGGCCAUCCCGGCUUACCAACCCGAUGCAAACUGCGAAUACCGGAGAAUGUUAUCACGGGAGACACACGGCGGGUGCUAACGUCCGUCGUGAAGAGGGAAACAACCCAGACCGCCAGCUAAGGUCCCAAAGUCAUGGUUAAGUGGGAAACGAUGUGGGAAGGCCCAGACAGCCAGGAUGUUGGCUUAGAAGCAGCCAUCAUUUAAAGAAAGCGUAAUAGCUCACUGGUCGAGUCGGCCUGCGCGGAAGAUGUAACGGGGCUAAACCAUGCACCGAAGCUGCGGCAGCGAACGUAUCACUUAAAGCGAUUCAGCGGGUUACGAUUGACGGAGCGAAGCGACGUCAAAGCGUAUACAAAGUCGAGUCGGUUUAAGGAUACGUU
RNAcentral lists this ribosomal RNA (1203 nucleotides) under Salmonella enterica subsp. enterica serovar Newport. Its description in RNAcentral is "partial 23S ribosomal RNA". It matches the Rfam family "Bacterial large subunit ribosomal RNA", at positions 61 to 1298 of the family's 2925-position model. Lineage: Bacteria; Pseudomonadati; Pseudomonadota; Gammaproteobacteria; Enterobacterales; Enterobacteriaceae. The record is from RNAcentral.